RNAcentral lists this unclassified non-coding RNA (254 nucleotides) under Hevea brasiliensis (rubber tree). Lineage: Eukaryota; Viridiplantae; Streptophyta; Magnoliopsida; Malpighiales; Euphorbiaceae. The record is from RNAcentral.
GAGCAUCAUGACACGCUGAUCGCACCAGCUCUGCUCGCGCAUCGGCUGGCGGAGAGCGGCACACUUGCGCGGCCUCAGGUCGCGAUCAGGAACGUGAUCGGCCUCUGGCGCACGCCGGACCGCGUGAUGGCGAGCGAGGACUGGCGGGAUACCGGCACAACGCUCACUGACGGCUAUCUGUUCGGCGAGNNNNCGUCUCGCCGACGGCUCGCCGGUGCCGAUCACGCCGGGAUCGUUCAGCGCCCCGCGCGGUG